UUCACGGAGAGUUUGAUUCUGGCUCAGGACGAACGCUGGCGGCGUGCUUAACACAUGCAAGUCGAGCGACGCUCCUCCUUCGGGAGGAUGACGGAGCGGCGAACGGGUGAGUAACACGUGGGCAACCUGCCCCUAGCUCUGGGAUAAGCCCGGGAAACCGGGUCUAAUACCGGAUAUGAAGUCGGACGGCAUCUUCUGACUUGGAAAGUUUUUCGGCUAGGGAUGGGCCCGCGGCCUAUCAGCUUGUUGGUGAGGUAACGGCCCACCAAGGCGACGACGGGUAGCCGGCCUGAGAGGGCGACCGGCCACACUGGGACUGAGACACGGCCCAGACUCCUACGGGAGGCAGCAGUGGGGAAUAUUGCACAAUGGGCGAAAGCCU
RNAcentral lists this ribosomal RNA (382 nucleotides) under Actinomycetota bacterium. RNAcentral describes it as "bacterial SSU rRNA". It matches the Rfam family "Bacterial small subunit ribosomal RNA", at positions 1 to 384 of the family's 1533-position model. The record is from RNAcentral. Lineage: Bacteria; Bacillati; Actinomycetota.